UGGAGUUUUUCAGCCAGUAUCAUUUGCCCUAAACAAAAGGUAAGCAUAAAAUUAAUACAAUAGAAUUCACUUUCAGGGAGAUAGAGUAGGCAUACUUUUUCCAAUUCUUUUUCUAAGUACAACUAAAAACCCGAGGCAUUACAAAUACAAGAAGCAUAAGAAGACUUUGACAGCUGGCGAGAAGGAGGCAGGCUGGCUAGCGACCUGGAAACCCAAGGAAUGACUUAGUGCAGCUAAAUAAGCACUGGCCUUGAGAUAAACAAUGUUGAAGCAGUUGCAGCUUACAACCACCAGAUGCUGACCAACUGACUUUGUUCCAUAAGCCAUAACUACAGCUCUGAUUGGACAAGAGAUUGAUUUCAGUAACUUUCUCCUGAUAAGAAGACCACUGACCAAGGACUGGGUCUAGCCAGUUUACGUAGACUGCGUGCUUAAAAGUCCUUUGGUGUCCUG
RNAcentral lists this long non-coding RNA (453 nucleotides) under Pan troglodytes (chimpanzee). RNAcentral describes it as "long non-coding RNA NONPTRT005050". Lineage: Eukaryota; Metazoa; Chordata; Mammalia; Primates; Hominidae. The record is from RNAcentral.